RNAcentral lists this ribosomal RNA (373 nucleotides) under uncultured organism. RNAcentral describes it as "partial 16S ribosomal RNA". It matches the Rfam family "Bacterial small subunit ribosomal RNA", at positions 527 to 896 of the family's 1533-position model. The record is from RNAcentral.
GUAGGUGGCAAGCGUUGUCCGGAAUUAUUGGGCGUAAAGCGCGCGCAGGCGGUUCUUUAAGUCUGAUGUGAAAGCCCACGGCUCAACCGUGGAGGGUCAUUGGAAACUGGAGAACUUGAGUACAGAAGAGGAAAGCGGAAUUCCACGUGUAGCGGUGAAAUGCGUAGAGAUGUGGAGGAACACCAGUGGCGAAGGCGGCUUUCUGGUCUGUAACUGACGCUGAGGCGCGAAAGCGUGGGGAGCAAACAGGAUUAGAUACCCUGGUAGUCCACGCCGUAAACGAUGAGUGCUAAGUGUUAGGGGGGUUUCCGCCCCCCUUAGUGCUGCAGCUAACGCAUUAAGCACUCCGCCUGGGAGUACGACCGCAAGGUUG